GACGAAGGGGGCAAGCGUUGUUCGGAAUUACUGGGCGUAAAGGGCGCGUAGGCGGUUCUUUAAGUCAGCUGUGAAAGCCCCGGGCUCAACCUGGGAACUGCAGUUGAUACUGUCCGACUAGAGUACGAGAGAGGGAGGUAGAAUUCCAUGUGUAGCGGUGAAAUGCGUAGAUAUAUGGAGGAAUACCAGUGGCGAAGGCGGCCUCCUGGCUCGAUACUGACGCUGAGGUGCGAAAGCGUGGGGAUCAAACAGG
Molecule: ribosomal RNA, 253 nt
Filed under: uncultured bacterium
Lineage: Bacteria
Description: partial 16S ribosomal RNA
Rfam family: Bacterial small subunit ribosomal RNA
Source: RNAcentral